Molecule: transfer RNA, 62 nt
Filed under: Metaphire guillelmi
Lineage: Eukaryota; Metazoa; Annelida; Clitellata; Crassiclitellata; Megascolecidae
Also listed under: 1 other name
Description: tRNA-Val
Source: RNAcentral
CAGAGUAUAGCAUAUAAAAUGCUUUUUACUUACACUAAAAAUAAAGUUACUACUUGCUCUGC